This 484-nucleotide ribosomal RNA is filed under the name uncultured bacterium. RNAcentral describes it as "partial 16S ribosomal RNA". It matches the Rfam family "Bacterial small subunit ribosomal RNA", at positions 28 to 507 of the family's 1533-position model. The record is from RNAcentral.
AUUGAACGCUGGCGGCAUGCUUUACACAUGCAAGUCGAACGGCAGCGCGGGCUUCGGCCUGGCGGCGAGUGGCGAACGGGUGAGUAAUGCAUCGGAACGUGCCCAGUAGUGGGGGAUAGCCCGGCGAAAGCCGGAUUAAUACCGCAUACGACCUGAGGGUGAAAGCGGGGGACCGAAAGGCCUCGCGCUAUUGGAGCGGCCGAUGUCGGAUUCGCUAGUUGGUGGGGUAAAGGCUUACCAAGGCGACGAUCCGUAGCUGGUCUGAGAGGACGACCAGCCACACUGGGACUGAGACACGGCCCAGACUCCUACGGGAGGCAGCAGUGGGGAAUUUUGGACAAUGGGGGCAACCCUGAUCCAGCCAUGCCGCGUGCGGGAAGAAGGCCUUCGGGUUGUAAACCGCUUUUGUUCGGGAAGAAAUCCUCUGGGCUAAUACCCCGAGGGGAUGACGGUACCGGAAGAAUAAGCACCGGCUAACUACGUG